CGCCUGAAGUCGCUUGAGGAAGAGAACGACAGACCAGAAGCGGGAAGCCGUGAUGUUGAUGUGUGAUGCGACCGGUCUGUCGCAACGUCGUGCCUGCAGGCUUACAGGUU
Molecule: small RNA, 110 nt
Filed under: Citrobacter werkmanii
Lineage: Bacteria; Pseudomonadati; Pseudomonadota; Gammaproteobacteria; Enterobacterales; Enterobacteriaceae
Description: Insertion sequence IS1222 ribosomal frameshifting element
Rfam family: Insertion sequence IS1222 ribosomal frameshifting element
About the family: This family represents the insertion sequence IS1222 ribosomal frameshifting element.
Source: RNAcentral